GGGGGGAGGCUGGAUCCUGGGCUGUUUCCCCGGCGCACAAUUCUCCCUGGCCUGCGCUGUUGGAUUCGCGCUCCCGUUUGUGCAGCUGCUU
RNAcentral lists this microRNA precursor (91 nucleotides) under Canis lupus familiaris (dog). Its description in RNAcentral is "mir-8799 microRNA precursor family". It matches the Rfam family "mir-8799 microRNA precursor family". RNAcentral also lists the same sequence under 1 other name. The record is from Rfam by way of RNAcentral. Lineage: Eukaryota; Metazoa; Chordata; Mammalia; Carnivora; Canidae.